This 653-nucleotide ribosomal RNA is filed under the name Charidotella sexpunctata. RNAcentral's name for it is "eukaryotic LSU rRNA". It matches the Rfam family "Eukaryotic large subunit ribosomal RNA", at positions 663 to 1267 of the family's 3401-position model. Lineage: Eukaryota; Metazoa; Arthropoda; Insecta; Coleoptera; Chrysomelidae. The record is from RNAcentral.
GGACCAAGGAGUCUAGCAUGUGCGCGAGUCAUUGGGACAUAACUAAACCUAAAGGCGUAAUGAAAGUAAAGAUUCGUCUUGCACGAAUCGAGGGAGGAUGAGCGGUUUGCCCUUAAAGUGGCCGCUCCGCACUCCCGGGGCGUCUCGUUCUCAUUGCGAGAAGAGGCGCACCAAGAGCGUACACGCUGGGACCCGAAAGAUGGUGAACUAUGCCUGGUCAGGACGAAGUCAGGGGAAACCCUGAUGGAGGUCCGUAGCGAUUCUGACGUGCAAAUCGAUCGUCGGAACUGGGUAUAGGGGCGAAAGACUAAUCGAACCAUCUAGUAGCUGGUUCCCUCCGAAGUUUCCCUCAGGAUAGCUGGCGCUCGUUGCAUACGAGUUUCAUCCGGUAAAGCGAAUGAUUAGAGGCAUCAGGGUCGAAACGAUUUUGACCUAUUCUCAAACUUUAAAUGGGUGAGAUCUCCGGCUUGCUCGAACUUAUGAAGCCGCGAGUCUUCGAAUCAGAGUGCCAAGUGGGCCAUUUUUGGUAAGCAGAACUGGCGCUGUGGGAUGAACCAAACGCCGAGUUAAAGCGCCUAAAUCGACGCUUAUGGGAUACCAUGAAAGGCGUUGGUAACUUAAGACAGCAGGACGGUGGCCAUGGAAGUCCGAAU